RNAcentral lists this ribosomal RNA (420 nucleotides) under uncultured eukaryote. RNAcentral's name for it is "SSU rRNA". It matches the Rfam family "Eukaryotic small subunit ribosomal RNA", at positions 567 to 990 of the family's 1831-position model. The record is from RNAcentral.
CCAGCAGCUGCGGUAAUUCCAGCUCCAGUAGCGUAUAUUAAAGUUGUUGCAGUUAAAAAGCUCGUAGUUGGAUCUCGGGAGCGUGCCGGCGGUCCUGUUUGCGCAGGCACUGCCGGUUUCGACCCGCCCGCGGGCCUUCCCUCGGUGUCCUUAACUGGGUGCCUUGGGGGACUCGCGCGUUUACUUUGAAAAAAUUAGAGUGUUCAAGGCAGGCGCCACCGCCUGCAUACCGAUGCAUGGAAUAAUGGAAGAGGACGCCCGUCCUGUUCUGUUGGUCUACGGGAACCGGGUGUAAUGAUCAAGAGGGACGGCCGGGGGCAUUAGUAUUAUGGUGUGAGAGGUGAAAUUCUGGGACCGCCGUAAGACUAACAACAGCGAAAGCAUUUGCCAAGAAUGUUUUCAUUGAUCAAGAACGAAAGU